RNAcentral lists this ribosomal RNA (279 nucleotides) under uncultured bacterium. RNAcentral describes it as "partial 16S ribosomal RNA". It matches the Rfam family "Bacterial small subunit ribosomal RNA", at positions 506 to 784 of the family's 1533-position model. The record is from RNAcentral.
UGCCAGCAGCCGCGGUAAUACGGAGGGUCCAAGCGUUGUCCGGAAUUAUUGGGUUUAAAGGGUGCGUAGGCGGUCUUUUAAGUCAGAGGUGAAAUCCCACAGCUUAACUGUGGAACUGCCUUUGAAACUGGAAGACUUGAGUACACUAGAGGUAGGCGGAAUUUAUGGUGUAGCGGUGAAAUGCAUAGAUACCAUAAAGAACACCGAUAGCGAAGGCAGCUUUCUGGACAGAUACUGACGCUGAGGCGCGAAGGCGUGGGUAGCGAACGGGAUUAGAUA